Molecule: ribosomal RNA, 464 nt
Filed under: uncultured bacterium
Lineage: Bacteria
Description: partial 16S ribosomal RNA
Rfam family: Bacterial small subunit ribosomal RNA
Source: RNAcentral
ACGAACGCUGGCGGCGUGCUUAACACAUGCAAGUCGAACGGAAAGGCCCUGCUUGCAGGGUACUCGAGUGGCGAACGGGUGAGUAACACGUGGGUGAUCUGCCCUGCACUUCGUGAUAAGCCUGGGAAACUGGGUCUAAUACCGGAUAGGAGCCAUUUUUAGUGUGAUGGUUGGAAAGUUUUUUCGGUGUAGGAUGAGCUCGCGGCCUAUCAGCUUGUUGGUGGGGUAAUGGCCUACCAAGGCGGCGACGGGUAGCCGGCCUGAGAGGGUGGACGGCCACAUUGGGACUGAGAUACGGCCCAGACUCCUACGGGAGGCAGCAGUGGGGAAGAUUGCACAAUGGGCGCAAGCCUGAUGCAGCGACGCCGCGUGGGGGAGGACGGCCUUCGGGUUGUAAACGCCUUUCGCUAGGGACGAAGCUUUUUGUGACGGUACCUAGAGAAGAAGCACCGGCUAACUACGUG